GAGCCCUUUCUUUCCCAUUAUUAUUAGAGGAAUCUACAGGAUACUAGGCAUGAAAUGACAGGAGCAUACACAGUCACUGGUCCUGACUUUAAAACUUUGACCUUCUAAACAUUACUGAAUCAGUCUGGAUUUCUGAAAUCAGUAGAAAGAUUUUUAAAAUAAGACAACUUGGCACGUGACUUUAAGGAAGAGGAUUAGAUUUCACAUCCUCAGUGGAUAAAAAGUUUCCCAUUCUGGAGACAGGUAUAGCAGAUGGCUUCCUGAACUUGGAGUCAAGGGACCACUUACUAGCUGUGUGUCCUGAACUCAUCACUUGCCCUCUCUGGGCCUCUCUGGCCUCACCUAUAAAACGAGCUUCGAAGAGAUGAUCUCUAAAGUUCUUCUGGAUCUAAUAGUCGAAGACUGAAGCCCUGAUUCUCAUCUGAAGGAGCUCUAGGACUUAAGGGAGUGAAAGGGGGAACUCAGUGCACAUGACAUUGAUGGGCUGAGAAAAAUUCCUAUUUAGAAAUCUGAUGCAAAAGCCAAAGUCAUCGUUCUCAAAUCCAGACUUGAUUCUAACUCAUUGGCCAAACUAGUGCUUCUGCACAGGCUUUGGGAGGGACAGUUGGUUAUCAAGAACGAAGAGGUUCCUGACUUUGAAGGAGUGAGUGGCUGGUGUUCAGAUGAAGAAAGACACCUGCCAUAACCAUGGCCUGUGCUCAUCACCAUUAACAAGGACCAGGGCUGGGCAUCUCACCUGCCUUAUCUACUUUAGUCUUCAUCACAGCUCUUUGUG
Molecule: long non-coding RNA, 775 nt
Organism: Bos taurus (domestic cattle)
Lineage: Eukaryota; Metazoa; Chordata; Mammalia; Artiodactyla; Bovidae
Source: Ensembl